Molecule: long non-coding RNA, 2555 nt
Filed under: Homo sapiens (human)
Lineage: Eukaryota; Metazoa; Chordata; Mammalia; Primates; Hominidae
Description: HSALNT0380731
Source: RNAcentral
AUGAAAUAAGCCAUGCACAGAAAGACAAAUAUCACAUGUUCUCACUCAUAUGUGGGAGCUAAAAAGGCUAAACUUAUGGAGGUGGGGAGUAGAAUGGUGAUUACCAGAGGUUGGGAAGUGUUGAAGUCAGAGAGGAAGAGAACUUGGUUAAUGGGUACAAAAAUACAGUUAGAAAGAAGGAAUAAGUUCUAGUGUUCACAGUAGAACAAACAUAAUUAAUAAGAAUUUAUAGUAUAUUUCAAAAUAGCUGCAAGAAAAGCAUUAUAAUGUUCCCAACACGAAGAAAUGGUAACCGUUUCAGGUGAUGGCUAUCCCAACUACCCUAAUUUUAUAAUUAUACAUUAUAGGUAUGUAUCAAAAGAUCCCAUGUACUCCACAAAUAUGUACAACUAUUAUGUAUCAAUAAAGACAGAAAAAACAUUAUAUAUAAUUACAUAAUACAGACAUAAUGAAUAUGAAUCAACUCUUAGUAUAUAUGAGGAAGAAGUGCUUGAAAAAUUUCUGUAAUUUUAAUCAUUAAAAACCUAGUCUCCAGAAUUAAAUUUUAUUCACUUAAUCAAGUCUUGUUUCAGGAGAGAGAGACAGAUAUAAAGAAAGGGUAUAGCUACUUGAACAAGGGAGGCAGCAUCCAAAUGACAGCCUGCAUGUUGUUUAUUCACACAGAGUAACUGCUGGCCAAAAUAAUAUCUCCCGAUGUUCAUUUAGUGUUGACAGAAAUGGUGAGAAUAUUCAAUACUAUCAACUUUCAGCCACUGAAUGUGCUUAUUUUGAGAGCACUGUUCAAAGAAGUGGAUUCUAGCUAUAAACACUGCUUUUCCCCCCACUUAAAUAGUCUAUUGAAGAGGAAAAUACCCAUACACAUUAGUAAAAUGAGAAAUGAGAUAAAAAUAUUGUUUCCUUACUCUAAUGCCGACGAAGAAUAAUGGUAUGAUUUAAGGGACCUAAGUAAAUAGCAUAUCCCAGUAAUAUAAUCAGUAUUGUGAGCCACCUAACUCUCUCAUUCAAAGCCAAGGUGUGGAGAUUCUUAAGAUCAAAGAUAAGUGGUCGGAAUUUCUUAAGAGGGCCGACCAUGUGGGCAAGGGCUUUGUUGUUCAGACUUCGACCCUUCCCCAGAGCCUGAAGAUUUUCUUUAGAAAACAAAGUCAAUGCCACGACUGGACCUUUCAACACCACACCCAAAUGCUGCAACAGAUGAUAUCACUUUCCAGGGUAAACACAAGCAGUGUAUUCUGAGGCCACUGGCCCGACUUCCCAGGUUGACUCAUCCUGCCUUCCAGCCUUGAAGGGCAAUAUCCUUACCAACAUGUGAUCUGAAGGAGCUCUGAACCCUCCAGUGAGACAUCAGCCCAUCAGACUCACAGAGAACAGCAGGAAGGCCAAAGACUCAAGAUUUAUCUAUCCUUGAAGUGAGCAAAAUUCCUUGUUAUUCAGUGAUGCUGAUUACAACAGGCCUCCGUUAUACGAAGGGAAAACAUCCCAGACCCCCCAGUGAAUGCCUGAAACUGGAUUCUACUGAACCCUGAGAUGGUACUAAGUGACUAACGGGUGAAUAGCGUGUACAGCAUGGAUACACUAGACAAAGGGAGGAUUCGCAUCCCGGGCUGGUCAGCAAGAGGUUUCAUCACCCCACUCAAAAUGGCAGGACCGUAUGAACCUGAAUCCAGAGAAACGGCUCAUCAGUCUCCAAUCCUCUGAUUUUCUAAACCAGGACUACAUUAUAUUAAAACCAGAAAAAGCAAUACCUCUUUUCACAGAAUGGACUUUCUGGUGGAAAUGGGAGGAACCAAAAGAAGGCUGACUUCUUCAUUUUGACACCCUGCCCUGACUGCAGAACGUGAUUUCCCUAAAAGACUGAAUGUUAACCUCAAAGCCUGGUCAACCAACAUGCAGGAGAAAUCUUGACCAAGGCUCUGAGCAUGCUGUGGUCCCAGUGGUGAGGGUGUGAUAUGCACUGUCUGUUCCUGGAGUCACAGUGCUCAUCUUGUGGUAAAGACCUCUUGGAAGAAUGUCUUCAAAGGCACAUCUCCAGCUGGGAGUCCUUGUUUCCUGAUUUUUUUUUUUAAGUUUAUGUUAUAUGAACAAAUGAGACUGCUUUCCCGGCAGGAGUAGCCCUCAGACGCCCACUGUGAGCCUACUUUCUGGAAGAAGCCAACUCAGACAGACCACAGUGUGUGCACAGCAUACGUGGCUGCUGGCUGUGGAUGAGAAAGUAUUCCUGAUCUGUCAGAAUAAUGAUUUCAGCGUGUUCUCAGCAGGUCCUCAGUGUGAUCCCAUGAGGAUACCCUCAACCCCUUGCAUGACAUGUUGUACUUGGAGUCCUUCCCCAUUUCAAUUUCAGCAUCAGUGGGAGGGAAAUAGCAAAACAGCAUUCCUUCAUGUAGAUAACCAGUAGGCAGCAGGCUACUCCUGGUUCGUAACAUAACUCCACCAGUGUAUUCUGGCAGCCGGGCUUACUUAAGGGAGAGCACAGACAUUCCCUGCUCAAAAACAAAACUGCUAAACGUGACUCCGGUAGCCUCCAUGCUCUCUGCAAGAAUAAAAUCCUUGAAGAAAAA